RNAcentral lists this ribosomal RNA (889 nucleotides) under uncultured bacterium. RNAcentral describes it as "bacterial SSU rRNA". It matches the Rfam family "Bacterial small subunit ribosomal RNA", at positions 116 to 1010 of the family's 1533-position model. The record is from RNAcentral.
CGUGAGCAACCUGCCGUGACAGGGGGAUAACCGAUGGAAACGUCGCUAACACCCGGUACACUUGGAGGGCAUCCUUGAGUUUGAAAAUUCCGAUGGUCACGGAUGGGCUCGCGGGACAUUAGCUAGUUGGCGGGGUAACGGCCCACCAAGGCGACGAUGUCUAGGGGUUCUGAGAGGAAGGUCCCCCACACUGGAAACUGAGACACGGUCCAGACUCCUACGGGAGGCAGCAGUGAGGAAUAUUGGACAAUGGAGGCAACUCUGAUCCAGCCAUGCCGCGUGAAGGAUGAAGGCCCUAUGGGUCGUAAACUUCUUUUGUCGUAGAGCAAUAAGGUGUACGUGUACAUCGAUGAGAGUAUACGACGAAUAAGCAUCGGCUAACUCCGUGCCAGCAGCCGCGGUAAUACGGAGGAUGCAAGCGUUAUCCGGAUUUAUUGGGUUUAAAGGGUGCGUAGGCGGACGUAUAAGUCAGCGGUGAAAGGUACCGGCUCAACCGGUGAGCUGCCGUUGAAACUGUGCGACUGGAAUGCGGAUGCCGUGGGAGGAAUGUGUGGUGUAGCGGUGAAAUGCUUAGAUAUCACACAGAACACCGAUUGCGAAGGCAUCUCACGAAUCCGUUAUUGACGCUGAGGCACGAAGGCGUGGGGAUCAAACAGGAUUAGAUACCCUGGUAGUCCACGCGGUAAACGAUGAUGGCUAACUGCCGGCGAUAUAGUGUCGGUGGCCAAGCGAAAGCGAUAAGCCAUCCACCUGGGGAGUACGACCGCAAGGUUGAAACUCAAAGGAAUUGACGGGGGCCCGCACAAGCGGAGGAACAUGUGGUUUAAUUCGAUGAUACGCGAGGAACCUUACCCGGGCUCGAACGGCUGAGGAAUGAAUUAGAGAUAGU